GACGGGGGGGGCAAGUGUUCUUCGGAAUGACUGGGCGUAAAGGGCACGUAGGCGGUGAAUCGGGUUGAAAGUGAAAGUCGCCAAAAAGUGGCGGAAUGCUCUCGAAACCAAUUCACUUGAGUGAGACAGAGGAGAGUGGAAUUUCGUGUGUAGGGGUGAAAUCCGUAAAUAUCGUAAGGAAGACCAGUGGCGAAGGCGGGUCUCUGGACAGUUCCUGACGCUGAGGCACGAAGGCCAGGGGAGCAAACGGG
This 251-nucleotide ribosomal RNA is filed under the name uncultured bacterium. RNAcentral's name for it is "partial 16S ribosomal RNA". It matches the Rfam family "Bacterial small subunit ribosomal RNA", at positions 524 to 776 of the family's 1533-position model. The record is from RNAcentral.